This is a long non-coding RNA of Asparagus officinalis (garden asparagus), 495 nucleotides long. RefSeq lists it as uncharacterized. The record is from RefSeq and is a predicted model, not a curated record. The transcript has 2 exons. Lineage: Eukaryota; Viridiplantae; Streptophyta; Magnoliopsida; Asparagales; Asparagaceae.
CAGGUGGUCCCCAGGCUGAUCGGGGAGUGGGGCGACAUCGUAAUUAGCUUGAAAGAUGGGACUAAAGUUGACUUGAGGAGUGUGCCCAAGUUCAGGGAGAUUGCUGACUACUGUCUCUUGAUGAAGGAGGAGGAGAGCCAGAAGAAAGGAGGCCGUGCUGGGGACCGCAGAGGGUUCUAGAACCGUGUGGGUUUGGGAUUUUUUGUUGUGAGGUGAAUGAUCUGAGAAGUUAGGAAGCAAGAAUUCAACAUGGCUAGAGUUAUAAUUUUGAAUCCAAGAGUCAUUUACAAGAGCCCUAUCCAGCCUGCACCAAACCCUAGUAUCAUGGUCUUGUUUGUUGUUCCAGGUAAAGAAACAACCCUCUGUUUUUAGGUGCAAUAAAUGGUUGUCUUCAAUGAAAGAAUUGAAGUCCCUUGUAUCUGCAUCUGUAAGUGCAAUUCCUCCUAAUUUUUCAUCAUCAUUGAUCAUAAUGUUGAAGUCCCCACAUACAAGCCA